UAAUUUGUGAGGAUUUGAGCGCUUGAAUGAGAGCACUGCAACUUUGGAACAAAGUGAGCAUCCGAUUUUGCCUCUCUCGCGGCACAGAGAUACUAAUUGAAACUGAAGGUUGUAAAAAGAUCUAAUCUUUUGUUCUUUCUAUUUGUAUUUCAAUUUGAAUCAAUUGACAAACUGGGGAAAUGAACUUGAGUAACUUCAAUUUUUAUAUUAGCCUAUCGUUAAAUUCAUUUCAAAUUAAAUUUUCAAGAAUAUCUCUGCAUGUCUCUGUCUGUGUGUGUGUAUCCAUUUUGAAAUUGAAACAGUAAAGCAUUUAAGUAAUUAGUUCUUCAGCGUUUUACAGAAGCAGCUUAUGGUAUGGAUUUUAUGUAGCGACAACUGAGAUGUAUCUUACUAUUUCUAUCUUGAGUUCUUAUGUUAUUUAUAAUGCUAAACAUGAACGGAUCCAGCUUUAUUUACUUUCAUACUCUUCCAAGCUAAAUGUUCCUAUACUCAUGUUCCUUUCUUUUGUUGACCCAAUUAAUUUUUGCCUUCCCGAGAGGAGUUUGAGAACUUGUUUUUAUGACGGUAGUGUCCGGUUCAACUUGCAUGUACCUCGACUAUUCCACCUGAUUCCUGCUAUCUCUCACUAGUAUAGGUACCGAGUAACUCUACCCAUCGAGGCUUGGUCAGGUGGGAAGAUAUCACCUAGUAUUUUUCGCUUCAGCGAGGAUUUGUACCCGUGACCUCAUGGUUUUCCUCCCACUUCUCUGACCAGGCCACUACCCAGGGUACUUGAGAACGUAUUAUUUUGAACUUUUUUCUGCUUGAAUGUUAUCUUUUUCUUUGUUGAGUAUGUAUUUGAAUGUUUUAUGCAUAUAACUAUAAUGGAUAUCCAUUGCAAUCUGGCUUGACUUAGACAAGCAGAGUAGGAUCUUAUGCUAUGGUGAGUGGUGACCGGCAUUUCUAUCUAGUAUCUAGUGCUACGACUAGUAUGUCAGAGACCGUCCCAAUUUAUUUCUACAUCUACCCUAAUAAUAUUCCUUGAUUUAAUAUAAAAAAGAUGUAUCCAGUUCUGAUUUUCAGUGGUCAUACUAAGUUAAAGCACGAACUUCAGUUUUGAGAAGAAGGACUAGUGUAGAAGUAUGAUUUAAUCAACAUAAUGUCAUUUUCUAAUGCUUCUUUCUUUCCCUAAAGCUCAUAAUUCACUGAUUACAAGGUUGAUGCAACUUAUAGAGGUGAGUAUUUACUAUUUAUCGAGUGAAAGGAAGCUAUUGAAAAAGUAGCAGCGGUAGGACGAGGAGGAAAUCUUCGACCCAAUAAGUUGUAGAAUUAUGUAUUGUAUCAUUGCUUUGAUUUUAACCUAUUUGCCAGCUCGAAUUGUUAGGUUUGAGUUUUCUAGUAAAUACUCACUGACUUACAUAAUUUUACGUUACCAGUUUCAGAUUUUGAAUAGGCUUUGUUGGGGGAGCUGGCAUCUAAAGUCUAAAGAAAGCAAGAGAAAGUGUUUAUAUCCUAUUUUCACUUGCUCAAGGAAUUCUUUGAUUAAGUUUACCUGUUAUGUUUGCCCUUCCUCAACAAAGCCCCCUUGUAUUUUGGCCUUGUUUGAGGCCUUUAGAUAAAGUUUUAUUAUUAUCCAUUUGAAAAAAAUCACGAAUGGAUGUCAUUAUGAUAUUAAGUUAAUGGGCACGAGCAGCAACAACAACAACAACAACAACCCAGCAUAGUCCCCUGAAAGGGCAGAGAGGCUUUUUCCAAUCGACCCUCGGCUCAGUGAAGGAAAGGAAAAACAAAAACAAAAANN
This 1780-nucleotide long non-coding RNA is filed under the name Nicotiana benthamiana. Its description in RNAcentral is "long non-coding RNA (NBEN_LNC004862)". The record is from RNAcentral. Lineage: Eukaryota; Viridiplantae; Streptophyta; Magnoliopsida; Solanales; Solanaceae.